Molecule: transfer RNA, 73 nt
Filed under: Streptococcus pneumoniae
Lineage: Bacteria; Bacillati; Bacillota; Bacilli; Lactobacillales; Streptococcaceae
Also listed under: 1 other name
Description: tRNA-Ala
Rfam family: tRNA
About the family: Transfer RNA (tRNA) molecules are approximately 80 nucleotides in length. Their secondary structure includes four short double-helical elements and three loops (D, anti-codon, and T loops).
Source: RNAcentral
GGGGCCUUAGCUCAGCUGGGAGAGCGCCUGCUUUGCACGCAGGAGGUCAGCGGUUCGAUACCGCUAGGCUCCA